UCAGAGGGAUCACAUCUACAACGGGCCCAGAAUGCCGCUGGCGGAGUGUUAACACGCACCAGUCAGAGGGAUCACAUCUACAACGGGCCCAGAAUGCCGCUGGCGGAGUGUUAACACGCACCAGUCAGAGGGAUCACAUCUACAACGGGCCCAGAAUGCCGCUGGCGGAGUGUUAACACGCACCGGUCACAGGGAUCACAUCUACAACGGGCCCAGAAUGCCGCUGGCGGAGUGUUAACACGCACCGGUCACAGGGAUCACAUCUACAACGGGCCCAGAAUGCCGCUGGCGGAGUGUUAACACGCACCGGUCACAGGGAUCACAUCUACAACGGGCCCAGAAUGCCGCUGGCGGAGUGUUAACACGCACCAGUCACAGGGAUCACAUCUACAACGGCCCCAGAAUGCCGCUGGUGGAGUGUUAACACGCACCAGUCACAGGGAUCACAUCUACAACGGGCCCAGAAUUCCGCUGGCGGAGUGUUAACACGCACCAGUCACUGGGAUCCCAUCUACAACGGCCCCAGAAUGCCACCGGCGGAGUGUUAACACGCACCAGUCACAGGGAUCACAUCUACAACGGGGCCCAGAAUGCCGCUGGCGGAGUGUUAACACGCACCAGUCACAGGGAUCACAUCUACAACGGGCCCAGAAUGCCGCUGGCGGAGUGUUAACACGCACCAGUCACAGGGAUCACAUCUACAACGGGCUCAGAAUGCCGCAGGCGGAGUGUUAACACGCACCAGUCACAGGGAUCACAUCUACAACGGCCCCAGAAUGCCGCUGGCGGAGUGUUAACACGCACCAGUCACAGGGAUCACAUCUACAAUGGACCCAGAAUGCCGCUGGCGGAGUGUUAACACGCACCAGUCACAGGGAUCACAUCUACAACGCCCCCAGAAUGCCGCUGGUGGAGUGUUAACACGCACCAGUCACAGGGAUCACAUCUACAACGGGCCCAGAAUGCCGCUGACGGGGUGUUAACAUGCACCAGUCACAGGGAUCACAUCUACAACGGGCCCAGAAUUCCGCAGGCGGAGUGUUAACACGCACCAGUCACAGGGAUCCCAUCUACAACGGCCCCAGAAUGCCACCGGCGGAGUGUUAACACGCACCAGUCACAGGGAUCACAUCUACAACGCCCCCAGAAUGCCGCUGGCGGAGUGUUAACACGCACCAGUCACAGGGAUCACAUCUACAACGCCCCCAGAAUGCCGCUGGCGGAGUGUUAACACGCACCAGUCACAGGGAUCACAUCUACAACGCCCCCAGAAUGCCGCUGGCGGAGUGUUAACACGCACCAGUCACAGGGAUCACAUCUACAACGCCCCCAGAAUGCCGCUGGCGGAGUGUUAAUACGCACCAGUCACAGGGAUCACAUCUACAACGGGCCCAGAAUUCCGCUGGCGGAGUGUUAACAUGCACCAGUCACAGGGAUCACAUCUACAACGAGCCCAGAGUGCCGCUGGAGGAGUGUUAACACGCACCAGUCACAGGGAUCACAUCUACAACGGGCCCAGAAUGCCGCAGGCGGAGUGUUAACACGCACCAGUCACAGGGAUCACAACUACAACGAGCCCAGAGUGCCGCUGGUGGAGUGUUAACACGCACCAGUCACAGGGAUCACAUCUACAACGGGCCCAGAAUGCCGCUGGCGGAGUGUUAACACGCACCAGUCAGAGGGAUCACAUCUACAACGGGCCCAGAAUGCCGCUGGCGGAGUGUUAACACGCACCGGUCACAGGGAUCACAUCUACAACGGGCCCAGAAUGCCGCUGGCGGAGUGUUAACACGCACCAGUCAGAGGGAUCACAUCUACAACGGGCCCAGAAUGCCGCUGGCGGAGUGUUAACACGCACCAGUCAGAGGGAUCACAUCUACAACGGGCCCAGAAUGCCGCUGGCGGAGUGUUAACACGCACCAGUCAGAGGGAUCACAUCUACAACGGGCCCAGAAUGCCGCUGGCGGAGUGUUAACACGCACCAGUCAGAGGGAUCACAUCUACAACGGGCCCAGAAUGCCGCUGGCGGAGUGUUAACACGCACCAGUCAGAGGGAUCACAUCUACAACGGGCCCAGAAUGCCGCUGGCGGAGUGUUAACACGCACCGGUCACAGGGAUCACAUCUACAACGGGCCCAGAAUGCCGCUGGCGGAGUGUUAACACGCACCGGUCACAGGGAUCACAUCUACAACGGGCCCAGAAUGCCGCUGGCGGAGUGUUAACACGCACCGGUCACAGGGAUCACAUCUACAACGGGCCCAGAAUGCCGCUGGCGGAGUGUUAACACGCACCGGUCACAGGGAUCACAUCUACAACGGGCCCAGAAUGCCGCUGGCGGAGUGUUAACACGCACCAGUCACAGGGAUCACAUCUACAACGGCCCCAGAAUGCCGCUGGCGGAGUGUUAACACGCACCAGUCACAGGGAUCACAACUACAACGAGCCCAGAGUGCCGCUGGUGGAGUGUUAACACGCACCAGUCACAGGGAUCACAUCUACAACGGGCCCAGAAUGCCGCUGGCGGAGUGUUAACACGCACCAGUCAGAGGGAUCACAUCUACAACGGGCCCAGAAUGCCGCUGGCGGAGUGUUAACACGCACCGGUCACAGGGAUCACAUCUACAACGGGCCCAGAAUGCCGCUGGCGGAGUGUUAACACGCACCAGUCAGAGGGAUCACAUCUACAACGGGCCCAGAAUGCCGCUGGCGGAGUGUUAACACGCACCAGUCAGAGGGAUCACAUCUACAACGGGCCCAGAAUGCCGCUGGCGGAGUGUUAACACGCACCAGUCAGAGGGAUCACAUCUACAACGGGCCCAGAAUGCCGCUGGCGGAGUGUUAACACGCACCAGUCAGAGGGAUCACAUCUACAACGGGCCCAGAAUGCCGCUGGCGGAGUGUUAACACGCACCAGUCAGAGGGAUCACAUCUACAACGGGCCCAGAAUGCCGCUGGCGGAGUGUUAACACGCACCAGUCAGAGGGAUCACAUCUACAACGGGCCCAGAAUGCCGCUGGCGGAGUGUUAACACGCACCGGUCACAGGGAUCACAUCUACAACGGGCCCAGAAUGCCGCUGGCGGAGUGUUAACACGCACCGGUCACAGGGAUCACAUCUACAACGGGCCCAGAAUGCCGCUGGCGGAGUGUUAACACGCACCGGUCACAGGGAUCACAUCUACAACGGGCCCAGAAUGCCGCUGGCGGAGUGUUAACACGCACCAGUCACAGGGAUCACAUCUACAACGGCCCCAGAAUGCCGCUGGUGGAGUGUUAACACGCACCAGUCACAGGGAUCACAUCUACAACGGGCCCAGAAUUCCGCUGGCGGAGUGUUAACACGCACCAGUCACUGGGAUCCCAUCUACAACGGCCCCAGAAUGCCACCGGCGGAGUGUUAACACGCACCAGUCACAGGGAUCACAUCUACAACGGGGCCCAGAAUGCCGCUGGCGGAGUGUUAACACGCACCAGUCACAGGGAUCACAUCUACAACGGGCCCAGAAUGCCGCUGGCGGAGUGUUAACACGCACCAGUCACAGGGAUCACAUCUACAACGGGCUCAGAAUGCCGCAGGCGGAGUGUUAACACGCACCAGUCACAGGGAUCACAACUACAACGAGCCCAGAGUGCCGCUGGUGGAGUGUUAACACGCACCAGUCACAGGGAUCACAUCUACAACGGGCCCAGAAUGCCGCUGGCGGAGUGUUAACACAGCACCUGUCACAGGGAUCACAUCUACAACGGGCCCAGAAUGCCGCUGGUGGAGUGUUAACAGGCACCAGUCACAGGGAUCACAUUUACAACGGGCCCAGAAUGCCGCUGCCGGAGUGUUAACAUGCACCAGUCACAGGGACCACAUCUACAACGGACCCAGAAUGCCGCUGGCGGAGUGUUAACACGCACCAGUCACAGGGAUCACAUCUACAACGGGCCCAGAAUUCCGCUGGUGGAGUGUUAACACGCACCAGGCACAGGGAUCACAUCUACAACGGGCCCAGAAUGCAGCUGGCGGAGUGUUAA
Brienomyrus brachyistius is the source of this 4023-nucleotide long non-coding RNA. RefSeq lists it as uncharacterized. The record is from RefSeq and is a predicted model, not a curated record. Lineage: Eukaryota; Metazoa; Chordata; Actinopteri; Osteoglossiformes; Mormyridae. The transcript has 2 exons.